UCGCAGCCCGACUUGAACGGAAAUCCUUUUUGUGGAACGCAGUGUAACAAAAAGAUUGGGAGUGGAAGGCGGAUUAAGC
Molecule: unclassified non-coding RNA, 79 nt
Filed under: Chryseobacterium limigenitum
Lineage: Bacteria; Pseudomonadati; Bacteroidota; Flavobacteriia; Flavobacteriales; Weeksellaceae
Description: Flavo-1 RNA
Source: RNAcentral